UUUCUCGAGGAUAAUAAGUCCUCCAGAAGUUUGUGAACAAUUAUGUUCAACGACGCAUGCUCCAUGAAUAGGGAGUUGUGUAUGUAACAACACUAAUGUCAGAAUACGCACACUUCAUCAUGCAAUGUUCUAACCCACCAUGAUAUCUUCUCUGGGCAUGGGCAACCCCGGCUGAGACUGAACAAAUUCGCGCAAUUCAGUCUCACGCAUGCACGACCCUGCCCAGAACUACGCAUGCUCACAUAUAACAAUUCAUUCGAACGCGCACUGCAGCGACUGCAGAUGUAUUGAUGACCUUAGAAUUACAAUGUAUCUUUCCGAUUGGCAGUGCCAACAUUCAGACACUUGCCUACCUUACAAGCCUCCAAUUGGUGACCAGGGAAACUAAACUAUGUACAUCUAGUUGCCGGGAACGAAGUUGGUGGCGUAUGCCCAUGCGUUGUUGGCAACGGGGUCUGCCAAGUGGUCGUUCAAGUUCUCCAAGGGGCCCUUGCCAGUCACAAUUGCCUGCACGAAGAAUCCGAACAUCGAGAACAUCGCAAGUCGGCCGUUCUUGAUUUCCUUCACCUUCAACUCAGCGAAGGUGUCGGGGUCGUCAGCCAAACCCAAGGGGUCGAAAGAGCCUCCGGGGUAGAUGGGGUCGGUCACAUCGCCCAAUGGUCCUCCGGCAACACGGUACCCCUCCACGGCUCCCAUCAGGAUCACCUGGCAGGCCCAGAUGGCCAAAAUGCUCUGAGCGUGCACAAGGCUAGGGUUGCCUAAGUAGUCCAAACCUCCCUCGCUGAAGAUCUGGGCUCCGGCCUUGAACCACACGGCCUCGCCGAACUUCACACCGCUCUUGGCCAGCAGCUCAGGGGUCAGGCACCCCAGAGCUCCGAGCAUGGCCCAGCGGGCGUGGAUGACCUCCAACUCCCUGUUGCGGGCGAAGGUCUCGGGGUCCGACGAGAGUCCGGCGGUGUCCCAGCCGUAGUCUCCAGCGAACUCACCGUUCAGGUACGAGGGGGUCUCACCGGAGAAAGGGCCCAAAAACUUGGGUCUGUCAGCGCCAUACCUGAUUCACAAGCCGAACUGUAAGUCACUCAUAACCGAACAUCCGCCUAUGCUAUUUCCUCAGAAACGUGUUUCUUUUAACAUCGGUCAAUUCACUGCACCCCGUCGAGGGUCACAUUGACAUCCUACAACCUCGCGAACGACUACAGCACUACUCACAAUUACACUAAUGCCAACACGUCCGCAGCAGCAGAGAAUCAUUCCAUCGAAGCGGACCUCACGAACCCAAUCCGCAGCUCACAAGAUCACCCAGCCGCCAGCAACAGUCAUUUCUACAGCCUAAACGAGGCACGGCCAAUGCACCCAUGACCAAUCCGCAACACAGGAGAAAUGAGGCAAUCAGCACAAGACGCGAGAGUGAGGGGGGGCAAUGCAAACAUACCAGAUGCUGUCGCUGCCAGAAGACUUGCUGACGGUCUUGCGCAUGGUGACGCGAGCCUGGCUGGUGCCCACCUUGCGGACGAGCUCAUUGGCGGGCUGAAGCAAGGCCUGGCCGGCCAGGGCAGUAGACGCGCAUGCGGUAGCGGCAGCCAUAGCGACAGGUAGCGGGGGGCGACGGGGACGAAGGCACAGAGUGAGGUGAAGUCACAGCGCGCGAUGGUGCAUUGAGAGCACUGGCCUGCGUCCCUUAUAGAGAGAGCGAGUGGGUGGGCGACGCCAGCGCGGGGGGGGGGCUGCAAUGGAGGAGGGGAGAGGGAGGGAGGGAGCGCAAUCGCAAUUGGAUAAGGUG
Molecule: long non-coding RNA, 1780 nt
Filed under: Physcomitrium patens
Lineage: Eukaryota; Viridiplantae; Streptophyta; Bryopsida; Funariales; Funariaceae
Description: long non-coding RNA (PPAT_LNC012594)
Source: RNAcentral